GAUGAACGCUGGCGGCGUGCCUAAUACAUGCAAGUCGAGCGAACAGAUGAGGAGCUUGCUCCUCUGACGUUAGCGGCGGACGGGUGAGUAACACGUGGAUAACCUACCUAUAAGACUGGGAUAACUUCGGGAAACCGGAGCUAAUACCGGAUAAUAUAUUGAACCGCAUGGUUCAAUAGUGAAAGACGGUUUUGCUGUCACUUAUAGAUGGAUCCGCGCCGCAUUAGCUAGUUGGUAAGGUAACGGCUUACCAAGGCAACGAUGCGUAGCCGACCUGAGAGGGUGAUCGGCCACACUGGAACUGGGACACGGUCCAGGCUCCUAAGGGGAGCAGCAGGGGGGAAACUUCCGGAAUGGGGGAAAGCCUGACGGAGCAAAGCCGCGGGGGUGAAGAAGGUCUUCGGGUCGUAAAAAUCUGUUAUUAGGGAAAAACAAAUUUGGAAGGAACUAGGGACGUCUUGACGGUACCUAAACAGAAAGCCACGGCUAACUACGUG
This 497-nucleotide ribosomal RNA is filed under the name uncultured bacterium. RNAcentral's name for it is "partial 16S ribosomal RNA". It matches the Rfam family "Bacterial small subunit ribosomal RNA", at positions 28 to 507 of the family's 1533-position model. The record is from RNAcentral.